RNAcentral lists this ribosomal RNA (585 nucleotides) under uncultured bacterium. RNAcentral's name for it is "bacterial SSU rRNA". It matches the Rfam family "Bacterial small subunit ribosomal RNA", at positions 338 to 917 of the family's 1533-position model. The record is from RNAcentral.
CCUACGGGAGGCAGCAGUAGGGAAUCUUCCGCAAUGGACGAAAGUCUGACGGAGCAACGCCGCGUGAGUGAUGAAGGCUUUCGGGUCGUAAAACUCUGUUGUUAGGGAAGAACAAGUGCUAGUUGAAUAAGCUGGCACCUUGACGGUACCUAACCAGAAAGCCACGGCUAACUACGUGCCAGCAGCCGCGGUAAUACGUAGGUGGCAAGCGUUAUCCGGAAUUAUUGGGCGUAAAGCGCGCGCAGGUGGUUUCUUAAGUCUGAUGUGAAAGCCCACGGCUCAACCGUGGAGGGUCAUUGGAAACUGGGAGACUUGAGUGCAGAAGAGGAAAGUGGAAUUCCAUGUGUAGCGGUGAAAUGCGUAGAGAUAUGGAGGAACACCAGUGGCGAAGGCGACUUUCUGGUCUGUAACUGACACUGAGGCGCGAAAGCGUGGGGAGCAAACGGGAUUAGAUACCCCGGUAGUCCACGCCGUAAACGAUGAUCACUAAGUGUGGGGGGUCGAACCUCCGUGCUCAAGCCAACGCGAUAAGUGAUCCGCCUGGGGAGUACGCACGCAAGUGUGAAACUCAAAGGAAUUGACGGA